GGGUUUUAGCUCAGUUGGCAGAGCGCCUGGUUCGCAAUCAGGAGGUCACGGGUUCGAAUCCCGUAAGCUCC
This 71-nucleotide transfer RNA is filed under the name bovine gut metagenome. It matches the Rfam family "tRNA". From Rfam's summary of the family: Transfer RNA (tRNA) molecules are approximately 80 nucleotides in length. Their secondary structure includes four short double-helical elements and three loops (D, anti-codon, and T loops). The record is from RNAcentral.